RNAcentral lists this ribosomal RNA (300 nucleotides) under Triticum aestivum (bread wheat). RNAcentral's name for it is "partial small subunit ribosomal RNA". The record is from RNAcentral. Lineage: Eukaryota; Viridiplantae; Streptophyta; Magnoliopsida; Poales; Poaceae.
AUGGUCAGAGGAAAAGCAACUAAUGGUGGCUGCCAACAAUUAAUCUUCAGAACGUGCAGAGUGCUUCUCAAGCUCAUCGCAUGUCUUCUUAUCUAUGUCUUAAACUGUGAAGAUAUAUACAAGGUUUUGGGUCGAAAUAUAAGCAUCCAAGUUGGCAUUGGAAGAGUCACAGUCGUGGUUGAUUCACGAGACCCGAGGCCAACUCUCUGUUUGUCCAUGGCAUGGCAAAACAGGAGCAGCUUGAUGCCAAAAUCUCUAUCUAGUAUAAAGAAAUGGCACCAUCUAUGUAACCAUGCAUAG